Molecule: small nucleolar RNA, 88 nt
Filed under: Ananas comosus (pineapple)
Lineage: Eukaryota; Viridiplantae; Streptophyta; Magnoliopsida; Poales; Bromeliaceae
Description: Small nucleolar RNA U31b
Rfam family: Small nucleolar RNA U31b
Source: Rfam by way of RNAcentral
GAGUGUGAUGAGAUGGUAUUGUCGCCCCAGGCUUACCAUCCGCUCGAUUUUGCGGCGGAUUAUGGUGAUCGACAUGUAAAUCUGACUC